GGGUAGAUGGCGAAAUUGGUAAACGCAUCACACUCAAAAUGUGACAACAUUUGUUUUGUGGGUUCGAAUCCCACUCUACUCA
This 82-nucleotide transfer RNA is filed under the name Cavernulicola chilensis. RNAcentral describes it as "tRNA-Leu". It matches the Rfam family "tRNA". From Rfam's summary of the family: Transfer RNA (tRNA) molecules are approximately 80 nucleotides in length. Their secondary structure includes four short double-helical elements and three loops (D, anti-codon, and T loops). Lineage: Eukaryota; Rhodophyta; Bangiophyceae; Cavernulicolales; Cavernulicolaceae. The record is from RNAcentral.